UCAAGACUAUUUGUAUCGUAGAUCAUGUGAAAGAGGAGAUGCGGCAGAAUCCAAGAUUAAAAGCUAUCGUCUUUUUACAAUCCGUUGGCCAUAGCUAACAUUGCCACGGGAGCGAAUGUGCGAAUUAGGUCCGAUCGACGAUAUUGAACGCUUAUGGAGACGAUCAUGAUGUCGUUGUCGCCAUUUUGAAUGAUAUUUCAAACAUUUUUCUGCAUCAACUGCGGCUUCCGUUCCUGUUCAUAAUUCUUCUCCUUUCUUCUACUGGAUCCACCGUUGUCGUUUUUCGUUGAUCAUUCGAAAUCAAUUUUGCCGCUCCUUUUUGCCCUUUCCCUAUUCAUCUUUUCAUCGUGUUUUUAGCCCCUCUUUUGAAUCCUCGCGCCCGACUGGACGAAUCCAUCUAUCGUCCGAGUAUUUUUUGCCGGCCGGUCAGCCAAGUCGUUGAAGCUCGUAGCGUUGAGGCUUGCCAGAGACAGCAGCAGAAGCAGCAGCAGAAUCAAUAACUAGAGAAACAUCAACAAGUGGCAUUGCACCCCGCCGAAACGAGGGCUGUCAGGCAGCACAACCACGAUGACGCGAGUCGAGAGCGCGCACUAGAGCUCUGGGGCCGGGGAGCUGCCGCCUGUCCGGCAAGGCGCCUGGCUAACGAUGCUUUAAUCGUAAUCUGCUAACAGGCGAUCCUGCCAACUUAAGCGAAGGCUAUUGAGACAUUCCGACUUCAAUUGGACUGAAUUCGAUAGCAGCACGAGGGUUUACAGGACAGGUUUAUUCUGAUGACUGCUUGACCGAGCGCACACUUUGCGCAAGCCAGUACUGACGGCGACCAAAUACACAGCGUCGCGUCUGUCGCCGAUGCGAAUUCUCGUUCGCGACCGGCUAUAUCGCCUUGCUUCGAUUUCCCCUUCCCAACGCCCGGGUCAGACCGCCCAUUCGCUCAAAAAUCGGUGAUCAGCAUGGCAUUGGACGAAGAGGCUGUCACUGAGGACGGAGAACCUCUUGUUGUCGGCGGAAUGCGCUUCAGCUCGUAGCACCAGCUGUUAUCAGUUAAACAACAACAACCACAGCCAUCUCGAUAACAACGACAGCAACAGCAUAAAGGACAGGUGGUGAUUUUUUGUAACAUAGAGAAGGAUUCAGCCGUUCGAUUUAGGCCUUCUCGAUAAAUCGACUUCUCUUCCUUUGAUUGCGCGACUGACUUCAACUGCUGGCCUGCGCGUUCAUGAUCCCGUUUAGAACGUCGAACACUUUUCGAAUUUUACCGCCGCUGCCGCCGCCGCCGCCGCCGCCGCCGCCGUUAGGGCGCGAAUAUGCGCAAACAUUCAGCCUCGCCGGUUGAGAAAUCAAUAACGGACUCGUUGUGAUCGAAGUUCGAACCCGGACAUAGACACGGGUCAUUUUGUGCUGGGAACGAGCCAUGUGACGAAAUUACGCCCGACGACUCGAAGCAUGAAGAAGUGCACACGGCAAAAUCCCGCUGAUAGAGUGAUUGGCUUGUUUAGAGGCGUGUCUUACCAGGUGAAUUGACUCGCGAUCAUUAGCCAAACGGAAGAGUUAGAGGCAGUAUGCCUGCCUGUCAAGCGCGACAUCAGCCGCUCAAAAGUAAUCGGGAACUCCCCGGGUGGCCUCUGGUUAAAGCGUCGUUAACGGUAAGCUGCUGCUAACUAAGUUACGCAGCAACCUAGCGACUCAGUCGUGAUUCACCCAGCCAGCGGCAAGAGGAUAAGGGAUCGUUGUGAAAAGAAGUCUCAGUCGAGCUGACUACUGAACUCUCGUCAAAUCGUCUUCUCGGAGUAAAUGCCGCAGCAGUCUUAGUUCCGCUGAAGUGGCUUCUGCGAUGGACAAAUUCACGGGGUCUCUGCAAUGGUAGUAGCUGUUUGUCACAUUUGUACCCAAGAGGAUCGUUGCUUGCAUCGUCCUUACUGAAGCACAAAUUAGGAGAUGCAUAUACUUGGUGUGCGUGUAGAAACAGCUGUCGCGAUCCCAUAUAACUGUGUAACCGAUUUGGUAUGACGCCAACGCAUUCAGACCUUUGUCUUAUACAAACGCAAUUCAAUGGAUCAACGUCGAGACAAAAUCCGCAACGCAGUAGAUGUUUACACUGGCUACUACUUGUAGCGACGUAGGUUUUUCCGCUGCUAACUGUGUGUGCACGUCAGUAAACGCCCUUGCAGGACGUUUAGCAUCAGUUCCUCCGAUGAAAGUAACUACAGGAUAUAGCAAGCACAGCUGGUGAUAAUGCACUAACAAGCUUAAUAAUAAACUAAAUUAAAAGUAAAACAAAUAUUCAGAACGGCUUCGAGUGAUGGCCGUUUGUCGAACAUACAUGUAGGCCCUCCUAGUCGACGCGAGAAAAUUGCGCUUGACAAUGGAAACUGGACUCUAAUCUUCCAUUUCUCGUUGCUUGUUUAGCAAGGUAAACGCGC
This 2420-nucleotide long non-coding RNA is filed under the name Varroa destructor (honeybee mite). RNAcentral's name for it is "uncharacterized LOC111245757, transcript variant X1". Lineage: Eukaryota; Metazoa; Arthropoda; Arachnida; Mesostigmata; Varroidae. The record is from RNAcentral.